RNAcentral lists this ribosomal RNA (50 nucleotides) under Laetiporus sulphureus. Its description in RNAcentral is "partial 28S ribosomal RNA". Lineage: Eukaryota; Fungi; Basidiomycota; Agaricomycetes; Polyporales; Laetiporaceae. The record is from RNAcentral.
AAAUCAGGUAGGACUMCCCGCUGAACUUAAGCAUAUCAAUAAGCGGAGGA